This 366-nucleotide transfer-messenger RNA is filed under the name Burkholderiales. RNAcentral's name for it is "DSOT01 sp001771985 Standard tmRNA". It matches the Rfam family "transfer-messenger RNA". From Rfam's summary of the family: Bacterial tmRNA, also known as 10Sa RNA or SsrA, is named for its dual tRNA and mRNA-like properties. Its role is to liberate the mRNA from a stalled ribosome. The record is from RNAcentral. RNAcentral also lists the same sequence under 1 other name. Lineage: Bacteria; Pseudomonadati; Pseudomonadota; Betaproteobacteria.
GGGGGCGACUUGGUUUCGACGUGGGUAGCGAAGCAGCGCAGGGCAUGCCAAGGUCCAGUCACCUUGUUAAACCGCUGGAAAUCUACAAACGCCAACGACGAGCGUUACGCUCUCGCCGCCUAAUACCGGCGAGACGCUGCACUAGCUUGCUGAUGGGCUAGGCCGGGGAAACCCGGUGCAGCGUCAUUCACAUCAGCCCCUCUGUGUGGUCUGGUCGCUUGGCCGCACGGAUCCGUCGAAGCGACUGGCUGAGCGUCAGCCUGCCGGCCGGCGGGCGCAAGGCGAGAUCCAGAUGACCAGGCUAAGCAUGUAGUCCUGACUGUAGAGGACUUGCGGACGCGGGUUCGAUUCCCGCCGCCUCCACCA